Molecule: ribosomal RNA, 708 nt
Filed under: Triticum aestivum (bread wheat)
Lineage: Eukaryota; Viridiplantae; Streptophyta; Magnoliopsida; Poales; Poaceae
Description: partial small subunit ribosomal RNA
Source: RNAcentral
AUGAACAAGACUGGAGAGCAUUCUGAGAAGUCUACCCGCCCAUCAGAGAUCGACUGGGUCCAAGCUGGCGCCGUCUCUCCAGUUGUGAGGAAACAAGGCGGUUGUGGCUGUUGUUGGGCCAUGGCUACGACAGCAUCAGUCGAAGCAGGACACUAUCUGCAGACCUUGCAAUCGAUCUCCCUAUCGGUUCAAGAGCUUAUCGACUGCAACACGGAGAACAACGGUUGCAACGGUGGCUACUCUCAACAUUCCUUCAAGUACAUACGGGAUAAUGGACUCUCUAGCGAAUCAUCAUACCCAUACAUGGCCAAGAGAAGUGCUUCGGGUUGCCAGAGGGACAAGACGGUAGCAGCAGCAACACGUAUAUUAGGCUUUUGGUGCGUCGACUCGACCGAGGAUGCUCUCGAGGAAGCAGUAGCAAAGCGGCCCGUGGUUGUCUGUCUACAGGGUACGCCUGAUCUCUUAAACUACAAAGGAGGCAUCAUGGAGUGCGAAGCUCUACCUGAUGGUAGCGCAACUACAUGGCAUGCUGUCCUGAUUGUCGGUUAUGGUACGGAUCCUGAUGGCGUUAAGUAUUGGCGCUUCAAGAACUCGUGGGGAAAGGAUUGGGGAGAGGGGGGAUUUGGGAGGAUCCGUAGGCACGUUGCUGACGAGCGAGGUGCCUUGGGUAUGUUUGUGUAUGGAGGACUAUAUCCAGUGAUUGACUAA